GACGAACGCUGGCGGCGUGCUUAACACAUGCAAGUCGAACGGAAAGGCCCUGCUUUUGUGGGGUGCUCGAGUGGCGAACGGGUGAGUAACACGUGAGUAACCUGCCCUUGACUUUGGGAUAACUUCAGGAAACUGGUGCUAAUACCGGAUAGGAGCUCCUGCUGCAUGGUGGGGGUUGGAAAGUUUCGGCGGUUGGGGAUGGACUCGCGGCUUAUCAGCUUGUUGGUGGGGUAGUGGCUUACCAAGGCUUUGACGGGUAGCCGGCCUGAGAGGGUGACCGGCCACAUUGGGACUGAGAUACGGACCAGACUCCUACGGGAGGCAGCAGGGGGGAAUAUUGCACAAUGGGCGGAAGCCUGAUGCAGCAACGCCGCGUGCGGGAUGACGGCCUUCGGGUUGUAAACCGCUUUAGCCUGUGACGAAGCGUGAGUGACGGUAAUGGGUAAAGAAGCACCGGCUAACUACGUG
RNAcentral lists this ribosomal RNA (468 nucleotides) under uncultured bacterium. Its description in RNAcentral is "partial 16S ribosomal RNA". It matches the Rfam family "Bacterial small subunit ribosomal RNA", at positions 28 to 507 of the family's 1533-position model. The record is from RNAcentral.